RNAcentral lists this ribosomal RNA (116 nucleotides) under Escherichia coli. The record is from RNAcentral. Lineage: Bacteria; Pseudomonadati; Pseudomonadota; Gammaproteobacteria; Enterobacterales; Enterobacteriaceae.
CCUGGCGGCCUUAGCGCGGUGGUCCCACCUGAGCCCAUGCCGAACUCAGAAGUGAAACGCCGUAGCGCCGAUGGUAGUGUGGGGUCUCCCCAUGCGAGAGUAGGGAACUGCCAGGC